GAGGAAUAUUGGACAAUGGAUGGAAAUCUGAUCCAGCCAUGCCGCGUGCAGGAUGACGGCCCUAUGGGUUGUAAACUGCUUUUGUAUGGGAGCAAUAAGCCCUUCGUGAAGGGUGAUGAGAGUACCAUACGAAUAAGCAUCGGCUAACUCCGUGCCAGCAGCCGCGGUAAUACGGAGGAUGCGAGCGUUAUCCGGAUUUAUUGGGUUUAAAGGGUGCGUAGGCGGUUGGAUAAGUCAGCGGUGAAAGUUUUCUGCUUAACAGGAAAAAUGCCGUUGAUACUGUCUGGCUAGAAUAUGGUUGCUGUGAGUGGAAUGUGUGGUGUAGCGGUGAAAUGCUUAGAUAUCACACAGAAUAUCGAUUGCGAAGGCAGCUCACAAAGCUAAUAUUGACGCUGAUGCACGAAAGUGUGGGGAUCAAAC
RNAcentral lists this ribosomal RNA (420 nucleotides) under uncultured bacterium. RNAcentral describes it as "bacterial SSU rRNA". It matches the Rfam family "Bacterial small subunit ribosomal RNA", at positions 356 to 773 of the family's 1533-position model. The record is from RNAcentral.